UUUGCUUUUUUGAAACUGGUGCAGAAAGAGUGUAUGCAGGCAUGUGUUCGUCCUGUAGAGCACCUGCUUAGUUUGAGAGCUGGUGCAUUGGUGUAGCCUGCCGACUGUGAUAGAAAACAACCUUCUCCAGUCAAGAACAAGAGACAUGGGAGACAAUAAGCCUGGAGGAAUAGUAGCAGCUGCAAAGAACCGUCUGCAGGUGGUGAAGGGAUUGGACGAUGCAGAGGUCUCAGAGUGUGAGAGCUGCUCCUUUGAGGUUACUCUUAACCUAGCCUACAUAGAGGGCAUGUG
Oreochromis aureus is the source of this 291-nucleotide long non-coding RNA. RefSeq lists it as uncharacterized. Lineage: Eukaryota; Metazoa; Chordata; Actinopteri; Cichliformes; Cichlidae. The transcript has 3 exons. The record is from RefSeq and is a predicted model, not a curated record.